RNAcentral lists this ribosomal RNA (253 nucleotides) under uncultured bacterium. RNAcentral's name for it is "partial 16S ribosomal RNA". It matches the Rfam family "Bacterial small subunit ribosomal RNA", at positions 524 to 776 of the family's 1533-position model. The record is from RNAcentral.
UACGUAGGUGGCAAGCGUUGUUCGGAAUUACUGGGCGUAAAGGGCUCGUAGGCGGCCAACUAAGUCAGACGUGAAAUCCCUCAGCUUAACUGGGGAACUGCGUCUGAUACUGGAUGGCUUGGAUUCGGGAGAGGAAUGCGGAAUUCCAGGUGUAGCGGUGAAAUGCGUAGAUAUCUGGAGGAACACCGGUGGCGAAGGCGGCAUUCUGGACCGACAUUGACGCUGAGGAGCGAAAGCCAGGGGAGCAAACGGG